CACAGCUCAACAUCACCCCUGUAGGCAGCACAGGAGCAGGGUUCAGAACUUCAGGACAGUUUCAGUCUCUUCUUACACAGAGGAGAGAGAGAAAGAGAGAGAGCAUGCAAGUGGCUGAGAGGCAGAGUGACAGGGAAAGACUGAGAUUCCAAGCUUCUCUGAGCUCGAACUCACAAACUGUUCAAGAUCCAGUAUAACACAAAAGGUGGAUGGCAAUGGGAGGAAGCCACAGAAGAGAAUUGAUACUGGGCAUCUCAUUGCUCUUGAAAAGGCUCCAAUACUGAGUUACGAAGACUAAGACGAAUCAUAAGGAUACAUGAAAAUCAACAUUUGAAGGUCUUUGGAACCUAAGCAAUCAGAGAGAACAUCCAUGUGCUCCUACCACCGCCCCAACUCAGAAAUCAGUGUCUGUGCCUCCCUCCUGGUAACCUGGACGCCUCUCUGUGCACCUUCUCUUCUACACAAGGACACCCCACCAAGAUUGUUCCUCAUUCUUUCUUGGGUCAUCAUUUCUCUAGUGCAUCAUAACCAUCAGCACACACACUGUAA
Suricata suricatta (meerkat) is the source of this 549-nucleotide long non-coding RNA. RefSeq lists it as uncharacterized. The record is from RefSeq and is a predicted model, not a curated record. Lineage: Eukaryota; Metazoa; Chordata; Mammalia; Carnivora; Herpestidae. The transcript is spliced from 5 exons.